CACAGCUUGGGACAUAGUGGUGCUCAGUAAAUAUUUAUUGGAUGAAUGGGUGAAUCAGUCAGUCAAUCAACCAAUCAACAAGAGAAUGCCACAGG
This 95-nucleotide microRNA precursor is filed under the name Tursiops truncatus (common bottlenose dolphin). RNAcentral's name for it is "miRNA (ENSTTRG00000025286.1)". The record is from RNAcentral. Lineage: Eukaryota; Metazoa; Chordata; Mammalia; Artiodactyla; Delphinidae.